ACAGUCAUCAAUUAAAGAUGUUUGUGCUUUGUGAAUUGUAUCAACUCAAAACAAGUCUCAGAUGUGCGGCAUGUCCCUCGUCAAUGUAAAGAAUCCUUAGGGAGUCUCAUUGGUAGGAAUCCAAAGAGUUUCGGAAAGUUAUUCAAGAUCCUUCCUUAAUAAGGAUGUCAGCUGCAAGGGGAACGGUUUACAACGAAAGCUCUAGAGCGAUGUGAUAUGUAUGAACUUACAAAUACUUUGGUGAAAUAAGAUUUGUCCCGUUUUUGUGAUUUAUUGGGCUUUUUUGGGAGUUAUUAAGGUUGAUCGGUGAUAUGUUUGCAAUGACUGUAGUUGUGAACUUUGAAAUAUAUCUCAAACGAUGUAAUGUUGAUCUUAAGAUAUAUUUAUGCGUAAUUAAUUUUGUUGA
Molecule: non-coding RNA, 406 nt
Organism: Erythranthe guttata (spotted monkey flower)
Lineage: Eukaryota; Viridiplantae; Streptophyta; Magnoliopsida; Lamiales; Phrymaceae
Source: RefSeq, a predicted model, not a curated record